RNAcentral lists this ribosomal RNA (477 nucleotides) under Candidatus Scalindua brodae. RNAcentral's name for it is "bacterial SSU rRNA". It matches the Rfam family "Bacterial small subunit ribosomal RNA", at positions 365 to 832 of the family's 1533-position model. Lineage: Bacteria; Pseudomonadati; Planctomycetota; Candidatus Brocadiia; Candidatus Brocadiales; Candidatus Scalinduaceae. The record is from RNAcentral.
UUCGCAAUGCCCGAAAGGGUGACGAAGCGACGCCGCGUGGGUGAGGAAGGCCCUCGGGUUGUAAAGCCCUGUCAGGAGUUAAGAAAUGUAAGUGCGCUAAUAUCGCAUUUAUUUGACGAAGGCUCCAAAGGAAGCCACGGCUAACUCUGUGCCAGCAGCCGCGGUAAUACAGAGGUGGCAAGCGUUGUUCGGAAUUAUUGGGCGUAAAGAGCACGUAGGUGGGUUUGUAAGUCAGAUGUGAAAGCCUUCUGUUCAACGGAAGAAUUGCAUCUGAAACUACAAGUCUUGAGUGUAGGAGGGGAGAAUGGAACUUCUGGUGGAGCGGUGAAAUGCGUAGAUAUCAGAAGGAACGCCGGCGGCGAAAGCGAUUCUCUGGCCUAUUACUGACACUCAGUGUGCGAAAGCUAGGGGAGCAAACGGGAUUAGAUACCCCAGUAGUCCUAGCCGUAAACGAUGGGCACUAAGUAGAGGGGUUUU